RNAcentral lists this ribosomal RNA (506 nucleotides) under uncultured bacterium. RNAcentral describes it as "partial 16S ribosomal RNA". It matches the Rfam family "Bacterial small subunit ribosomal RNA", at positions 29 to 523 of the family's 1533-position model. The record is from RNAcentral.
AGUGAACGCUGGCGGUAGGCCUAACACAUGCAAGUCGAACGGCAGCACAGGAGAGCUUGCUCUCUGGGUGGCGAGUGGCGGACGGGUGAGGAAUACAUCGGAAUCUACUCUGUCGUGGGGGAUAACGUAGGGAAACUUACGCUAAUACCGCAUACGACCUACGGGUGAAAGCAGGGGACCUUCGGGCCUUGCGCGAUUGAAUGAGCCGAUGUCGGAUUAGCUAGUUGGCGGGGUAAAGGCCCACCAAGGCGACGAUCCGUAGCUGGUCUGAUAGAAUGGUCAGCCACACUGGAACUGAGACACGGUCCAGACUCCUACGGGAGGCAGCAGUGGGGAAUAUUGGACAAUGGGCGCAAGCCUGAUCCAGCCAUACCGCGUUGGUGAAGAAGGCCUUCGGGUUGUAAAGCCCUUUUGUUGGGAAAGAAAUCCAGCUGGCUAAUACCCGGUUGGGAUGACGGUACCCAAAGAAUAAGCACCGGCUAACUUCGUGCCAGCAGCCGCCGUAA